CAAAGAUUUAUUGCUUUGAGAUGGACCCGCGGCGCAUUAGCUAGUUGGUAAGGUAACGGCUUACCAAGGCAACGAUGCGUAGCCGACCUGAGAGGGUGAUCGGCCACAUUGGAACUGAGACACGGUCCAGACUCCUACGGGAGGCAGCAGUGGGGAAUAUUGCGCAAUGGGGGAAACCCUGACGCAGCAACGCCGCGUGGGUGAUGAAGGUCUUCGGAUUGUAAAGCCCUGUUUUCUGGGACGAUAAUGACGGUACCAGAGGAGGAAGCCACGGCUAACUACGUGCCAGCAGCCGCGGUAAUACGUAGGUGGCGAGCGUUGUCCGGAUUUACUGGGCGUAAAGGGUGCGUAGGCGGAUGUUUAAGUGGGAUGUGAAAUCCCCGGGCUUAACCUGGGGGCUGCAUUCCAAACUGGAUAUCUAGAGUGCAGGAGAGGAAAGCGGAAUUCCUAGUGUAGCGGUGAAAUGCGUAGAGAUUAGGAAGAACACCAGUGGCGAAGGCGGCUUUCUGGACUGUAACUGACGCUGAGGCACGAAAGCGUGGGUAGCAAACAGGAUUAGAUACCCUGGUAGUCCACGCCGUAAACGAUGGAUACUAGGUGUAGGGGGUAUCAACUCCCCCUGUGCCGCAGUUAACACAAUAAGUAUCCCGCCUGGGGAGUACGGUCGCAAGAUUAAAACUCAAAGGAAUUGACGGGGGCCCGCACAAGCAGCGGAGCAUGUGGUUUAAUUCGAAGCAACGCGAAGAACCUUACCUGGACUUGACAUCCCUUGCAUAGCCUAGAGAUAGGUGAAGCCCUUCGGGGCAAGGAGACAGGUGGUGCAUGGUUGUCGUCAGCUCGUGUCGUGAGAUGUUAGGUUAAGUCCUGCAACGAGCGCAACCCUUGUUAUUAGUUGCUACCAUUAAGUUGAGCACUCUAAUGAGACUGCCUGGGUAACCAGGAGGAAGGUGGGGAUGACGUCAAAUCAUCAUGCCCCUUAUGUCCAGGGCUACACACGUGCUACAAUGGUAGGUACAAUAAGACGCAAGACCGUGAGGUGGAGCAAAACUUAUAAAACCUAUCUCAGUUCGGAUUGUAGGCUGCAACUCGCCUACAUGAAGCUGGAGUUGCUAGUAAUCGCGAAUCAGAAUGUCGCGGUGAAUACGUUCCCGGGCCUUGUACACACCGCCCGUCACACCAUGAGAGCUGGUAACACCCGAAGU
RNAcentral lists this ribosomal RNA (1202 nucleotides) under rumen bacterium R5_42. RNAcentral's name for it is "bacterial SSU rRNA". It matches the Rfam family "Bacterial small subunit ribosomal RNA", at positions 202 to 1427 of the family's 1533-position model. The record is from RNAcentral.